This 29-nucleotide non-coding RNA is filed under the name Mus musculus (house mouse). The record is from RNAcentral. Lineage: Eukaryota; Metazoa; Chordata; Mammalia; Rodentia; Muridae.
UAGGUGAUCUCGUUCACAACAGUGGCAGA